Molecule: ribosomal RNA, 254 nt
Filed under: uncultured bacterium
Lineage: Bacteria
Description: partial 16S ribosomal RNA
Rfam family: Bacterial small subunit ribosomal RNA
Source: RNAcentral
UACGGGGGGAGCAAGCGUUGUUCGGAUUUACUGGGCGUAAAGGGCGCGUAGGCGGUCGUGACAAGUCACUUGUGAAAUCUCCGGGCUUAACUCGGAACGGUCAAGUGAUACUGUCGGACUAGAGUACAGAAGGGGCAACUGGAAUUCUCGGUGUAGCGGUGAAAUGCGUAGAUAUCGAGAGGAACACAUGCGGCGAAGGCGGGUUGCUGGGCUGAUACUGACGCUGAGGCGCGAAAGCCAGGGGAGCGAACGGG